GUGAGAUACAUUUCUCUAAGUGCAUCUUGUGGCUGCAAGUGGGAGAGGCAGGGCCUGAAUCUGGCCAAGAGAUCUCAGGACAAAGCUAAAUCGCAUUUCCAAAGCCAGUCCUUAGACUUGUUCAAGUGUAAGCAGCUUUCACUAAACAGAAGUUUGAUGAGCCGAGCAGGAGUGAAUCAGAAACACGAGGCUGAUGUUUGUCUUCAUCUGCAAGGGGGUUUGGCAGUCUCCAGGCUCCCUUGGCAAGCAGGAUUUGGGCGCUGCCAAAACCUGGAGCUCUGGCGUGAUAGCGUGACCCUUCCGGUCAGGCCAGGCCUCCCGCCCGCCUUCCUGCUGUUCAAAUCAGAGUCUCGGCCUCUCAUGGCCUCUCCUGCUGCUUCACCCUUGAGCCCCGAGGACAGAGUGGCAGGAGGCGUCUCUGUAACCACAUCACGUGUGGGGGAAAAAUGGCACAGAGCGCUCUUUCCUGGAGCGCGGUCAAUGCAGCAGUACCCCAGGUGCCAGGAAACCCAAGCCUUGGAAACUGUGGCUGCAGGUUCCAUCCCCAGGUUGUGGCUUCUCAGAACUUUUCCUCUUUUGAUGAGACUGCCCCAAAUCUGGAGCAGGACUGGAAUAGAUUCAAGGUCAUCGGUUAGAAGAGCAUUUUCUUGGGUGUUUUGUGGGACUGCUGUGCUGCGGGAGGAACUCAAAGGAUGCUGUUUUAAGUGCGUUUGCCCUGAAAGUGCCAGAACACAGGCUCCAUGACUGCAGAGAUCUCAUCUGUUUUUAUUCACAUCCCUGGAGUCCAGCACUGUGUCUGGCUCAAGAUAAGUGGC
Bos taurus (domestic cattle) is the source of this 815-nucleotide long non-coding RNA. Lineage: Eukaryota; Metazoa; Chordata; Mammalia; Artiodactyla; Bovidae. The record is from Ensembl.